Molecule: ribosomal RNA, 252 nt
Filed under: uncultured bacterium
Lineage: Bacteria
Description: partial 16S ribosomal RNA
Rfam family: Bacterial small subunit ribosomal RNA
Source: RNAcentral
UACGGAGGAUGCGAGCGUUAUCCGGAUUUAUUGGGUUUAAAGGGUGCGUAGGCGGACGCUUAAGUCAGCGGUAAAAUUGCGGGGCUCAACCUCGUCGAGCCGUUGAAACUGGGUGCCUUGAGUGGGCGAGAAGUACGCGGAAUGCGUGGUGUAGCGGUGAAAUGCAUAGAUAUCACGCAGAACUCCGAUUGCGAAGGCAGCGUACCGGCGCCCAACUGACGCUGAGGCACGAAAGCGUGGGUAUCGAACAGG